Molecule: ribosomal RNA, 568 nt
Filed under: Salmonella enterica
Lineage: Bacteria; Pseudomonadati; Pseudomonadota; Gammaproteobacteria; Enterobacterales; Enterobacteriaceae
Also listed under: 3 other names
Description: partial 23S ribosomal RNA
Rfam family: Bacterial large subunit ribosomal RNA
Source: RNAcentral
CAGACCGCCAGCUAAGGUCCCAAAGUCAUGGUUAAGUGGGAAACGAUGUGGGAAGGCCCAGACAGCCAGGAUGUUGGCUUAGAAGCAGCCAUCAUUUAAAGAAAGCGUAAUAGCUCACUGGUCGAGUCGGCCUGCGCGGAAGAUGUAACGGGGCUAAACCAUGCACCGAAGCUGCGGCAGCGACGCUGAUGCGUUGUUGGGUAGGGGAGCGUUCUGUAAGCCUGUGAAGGUGGCCUGUGAGGGUUGCUGGAGGUAUCAGAAGUGCGAAUGCUGACAUAAGUAACGAUAAAGCGGGUGAAAAGCCCGCUCGCCGGAAGACCAAGGGUUCCUGUCCAACGUUAAUCGGGGCAGGGUGAGUCGACCCCUAAGGCGAGGCCGAAAGGCGUAGUCGAUGGGAAACGGGUUAAUAUUCCCGUACUUGGUGUUACUGCGAAGGGGGGACGGAGAAGGCUAUGUUGGCCGGGCGACGGUUGUCCCGGUUUAAGCGUGUAGGUGUGUGUUCCAGGUAAAUCCGGUUCACUUUAACACUGAGGCGUGAUGACGAGGCACUACGGUGCUGAAGCAACAA